GCGACCCCAGGAUGGGCGAGGCCACCCGCCGAGUUUAAGCAUAUCAAUAAGCGGAGGAGAAG
This 62-nucleotide ribosomal RNA is filed under the name Polystachya concreta. Its description in RNAcentral is "partial 26S ribosomal RNA". Lineage: Eukaryota; Viridiplantae; Streptophyta; Magnoliopsida; Asparagales; Orchidaceae. The record is from RNAcentral. RNAcentral also lists the same sequence under 149 other names.